GACGAACGCUGGCGGCGCGCCUAACACAUGCAAGUCGAACGAGCGAGAGGAGGUUUACUUUCUCAAGCGAGUGGCGAACGGGUGAGUAACGCGUGAGGAACCUGCCUCAAAGAGGGGGACAACAGUUGGAAACGACUGCUAAUACCGCAUAAGCCCACGACCCGGCAUCGGGUAGAGGGAAAAGGAGCAAUCCGCUUUGAGAUGGCCUCGCGUCCGAUUAGCUAGUUGGUGAGGUAAUGGCCCACCAAGGCGACGAUCGGUAGCCGGACUGAGAGGUUGAACGGCCACAUUGGGACUGAGACACGGCCCAGACUCCUACGGGAGGCAGCAGUGGGGAAUAUUGCACAAUGGGGGAAACACUGAUGCAGCGACGCCGCGUGGAGGAAGAAGGUCUUCGGAUUGUAAACUCCUGUUGUUGAGGAAGAUAAUGACGGUACUCAACAAGGAAGUGACGGCUAACUACGUG
This 466-nucleotide ribosomal RNA is filed under the name uncultured bacterium. RNAcentral describes it as "partial 16S ribosomal RNA". It matches the Rfam family "Bacterial small subunit ribosomal RNA", at positions 28 to 507 of the family's 1533-position model. The record is from RNAcentral.